This 497-nucleotide ribosomal RNA is filed under the name uncultured bacterium. RNAcentral's name for it is "partial 16S ribosomal RNA". It matches the Rfam family "Bacterial small subunit ribosomal RNA", at positions 28 to 507 of the family's 1533-position model. The record is from RNAcentral.
GAUGAACGCUGGCGGCGUGCCUAAUACAUGCAAGUCGAGCGAACAGACGAGGAGCUUGCUCCUCUGACGUUAGCGGCGGACGGGUGAGUAACACGUGGAUAACCUACCUAUAAGACUGGGAUAACUUCGGGAAACCGGAGCUAAUACCGGAUAAUAUAUUGAACCGCAUGGUUCAAUAGUGAAAGACGGUUUUGCUGUCACUUAUAGAUGGAUCCGCGCCGCAUUAGCUAGUUGGUAAGGUAACGGCUUACCAAGGCAACGAUGCGUAGCCGACGUGAGAGGGGGAUCGGCCACACUGGAGCUGAGACGCGGUCCAGACGCCUAAGGGAGGCAGCAGUAGGGAAUCUGCCGCAAUGGGCGAAAGCCUGACGGAGCAACGCCGCGUGAGUGAUGAAGGUCUUCGGAUCGUAAAACUCUGUUAUUAGGGAAGAACAAAUGUGUAAGUAACUAUGCACGUCUUGACGGUACCUAAUCAGAAAGCCACGGCUAACUACGUG